CCUACGGGUGGCAGCAGUGAGGAAUAUUGGUCAAUGGGCGCGAGCCUGAUCCAGCCAAGUCGCGUGAAGGAUGACUGCCCUACGGGUUGUAAACUUCAUUUAUAAAGGAAUAAAGUGAGGCACGUGUGCCAUUUUGUAUGUACUUUAUGAAUAAGGAACGGCUAAAUCCGUGCAAGCAGCCGCGGUAAUACGGAGGAUCCGAGCGUUAUCCGGAUUUAGUGGGUUUAAAGGGUACGUAGAUGGGUUGUUAAGGCUGUUGUGAAAGUCUGCUGCUCAACCGUGAAAUUGCAAUUGAUACUGGCAUUCUUGAGUACAGUAGAGGUAGGCGGAAUUCGUGGUGUAGCGGUGAAAUGCUUAGAUAUUACGAGGAACUCCGAUUGCGAAGGCAGCUUACUAAACUGCCACUGACAUUGAUGCUCGAAAGUGUGGGUAUCAAACAGGAUUAGAUACCCGUGUAGUC
This 460-nucleotide ribosomal RNA is filed under the name uncultured bacterium. RNAcentral's name for it is "partial 16S ribosomal RNA". It matches the Rfam family "Bacterial small subunit ribosomal RNA", at positions 338 to 795 of the family's 1533-position model. The record is from RNAcentral.